AGCAGCCGCGGUAAUUCCAGCUCCAAUAGCGUAUAUUAAAGUUGUUGCAGUUAAAAAGCUCGUAGUUGAAUUUCGGAAUCAGUAUGUCGGUCGUGCCUCCGGUAUGUACUGGCGUCACUGGUUCCUCCCUUCUGACGAACCAUCAUGCUAUUAAUUUAGUGUGGUGGGAAAUCAGGACUGUUACUUUGAAAAAAUUAGAGUGUUUAAAGCAGGCUCACGCUUGAAUACAUUAGCAUGGAAUAAUGAAAUAGGACGUUGAUCCUAUUUUGUUGGUUUCUAGGAUUGACGUAAUGAUUAAUAGGGAUAGUUGGGGGCAUUAGUAUUCAAUUGUCAGAGGUGAAAUUCUUGGAUGUAU
This 355-nucleotide ribosomal RNA is filed under the name uncultured Glomeraceae. Its description in RNAcentral is "SSU rRNA". It matches the Rfam family "Eukaryotic small subunit ribosomal RNA", at positions 569 to 929 of the family's 1831-position model. The record is from RNAcentral. Lineage: Eukaryota; Fungi; Glomeromycota; Glomeromycetes; Glomerales; Glomeraceae.